This 287-nucleotide ribosomal RNA is filed under the name uncultured bacterium. Its description in RNAcentral is "partial 16S ribosomal RNA". It matches the Rfam family "Bacterial small subunit ribosomal RNA", at positions 524 to 803 of the family's 1533-position model. The record is from RNAcentral.
UACAGAGGGUGCGAGCGUUGUCCGGAAUCACUGGGCGUAAAGGGCGCGUAGGCGGAUGGUACAGUCAGACGUGAAAUUCCUGGGCUCAACCUGGGGGCUGCGUUUGAUACGUGCUGUCUGGAGUUCGGAAGAGGGUCGUGGAAUUCCCAGUGUAGAGGUGAAAUUCGUAGAUAUUAGGGAAGAACACCGGUGGCGAAGGCGGCCGACCUGGAUCCGGUACUGACGCUGAGGCGCGAAAGCGUGGGGAGCAAACAGGAUUAGAACUACCGUGUCAGUCCAAGACCAGU